Molecule: ribosomal RNA, 292 nt
Filed under: uncultured bacterium
Lineage: Bacteria
Description: partial 16S ribosomal RNA
Rfam family: Bacterial small subunit ribosomal RNA
Source: RNAcentral
GUGUCAGCAGCCGCGGUAAGACGAACCGAGCGAACGUUGUUCGGAAUCACUGGGCUUAAAGGGCGCGUAGGCGGGUGCUCAAGUCUGUGGUGAAAUCCUCCGGCUCAACCGGAGAACUGCCAUGGAUACUGGGUGUCUCGAGGGUGGUAGGGGUAUGCGGAACUAUCGGUGGAGCGGUGAAAUGCGUUGAUAUCGAUAGGAACUCCGGUGGCGAAGGCGGCAUACUGGACCACAUCUGACGCUGAGGCGCGAAAGCCAGGGGAGCGAACGGGAUUAGAUACCCCCGUAGUCC